GACGAACGCUGGCGGCGUGCUUAACACAUGCAAGUCGAACGGAAAGGCCUGCUUUCCCUUGUGGAUUGCGGGUACUCGAGUGGCGAACGGGUGAGUAACACGUGAGUGAUCUGCCCCCAACUUGGGUAUAAGCCUGGGAAACUGGGUCUAAUUCCCGAUAGGACUGCAGGGUGGUGCCUGUGGUGGAAAACGAUUUUCUAGUGGUUGGGGAUGAGCUCGCGGCCUAUCAGCUUGUUGGUGGGGUAAUGGCCUACCAAGGCGGCGACGGGUAGCCGGCCUGAGAGGGUGGACGGCCACAUUGGGACUGGGAUACGGCCCAGACUCCUACGGGAGGCAGCAGUGGGGAAUAUUGCACAAUGGGCGGAAGCCUGAUGCAGCGACGCCGGGUGGGGGAUGACGGCCUUCGGGUUGUAACCUCCUUUCGACCGCGAGGAAGCCACCUGGUGGGAAGGGUGGUGACGGUAGUGGUAGAAGAAGCACCGGCUAACUACGU
RNAcentral lists this ribosomal RNA (493 nucleotides) under uncultured bacterium. RNAcentral's name for it is "partial 16S ribosomal RNA". It matches the Rfam family "Bacterial small subunit ribosomal RNA", at positions 28 to 506 of the family's 1533-position model. The record is from RNAcentral.